CAAGCGGUGGAGCAUGUGGUUUAAUUCGACGCAACGCGAAGAACCUUACCAGGGCUUGACAUCCCCUGACCGCGUAUGAAAGUACGUUUUCACCCUCGGGUGACAGGGAGACAGGUGGUGCAUGGUUGUCGUCAGCUCGUGUCGUGAGAUGUUGGGUUAAAGUCCCGCAACGAGCGCAACCCCUACGUUUAGUUGCUAACGCGUGAAGGCGAGCACUCUAGACGAACUGCCGUUGACAAAACGGAGGAAGGUGGGGAUGACGUCAAAUCAUCAUGCCCCUUAUGUUCUGGGCUACACACGUGCUACAAUGGCCGGUACAGACGGACGCAAAGCCGCGAGGUGGAGCAAAUCCUAAAAAGCCGGUCUCAGUUCGGAUUGCAGGCUGCAAUUCGCCUGCAUGAAGCCGGAAUCGCUAGUAAUCGCGGAUCAGCAUGCCGCGGUGAAUACGUUCCCGGGCCUU
This 460-nucleotide ribosomal RNA is filed under the name uncultured Pelotomaculum sp. Its description in RNAcentral is "bacterial SSU rRNA". It matches the Rfam family "Bacterial small subunit ribosomal RNA", at positions 926 to 1382 of the family's 1533-position model. The record is from RNAcentral. Lineage: Bacteria; Bacillati; Bacillota; Clostridia; Eubacteriales; Desulfotomaculaceae.